AGUGAACGCUGGCGGUAGGCCUAACACAUGCAAGUCGAACGGCAGCACAGUAAGAGCUUGCUCUUACGGGUGGCGAGUGGCGGACGGGUGAGGAAUACAUCGGACUCUACUUUUUCGUGGGGGAUAACGUAGGGAAACUUACGCUAAUACCGCAUACGACCUACGGUUGAAAGCAGGGGAUCUUCGGACCUUGCGCGAUUGAAUGAGCCGAUGUCGGAUUAGCUAGUUGGCGGGGUAAAGUCCCACCAAGGCGACGAUCCGUAGAUGGUCUGAGAGGAUGAUCAGCCACACUGGAACUGAGACACGGUCCAGACUAAUACGGGAGGCAGCAGUGGGGAAUAUUGGACAAUGGGCGCAAGCCUGAUCCAGCCAUACCGCGUGGGUGAAGAAGGCCUUCGGGUUGUAAAGCCAUUUUGUUGGGAAAGAAAAGCAGAAGGUUAAUACCCCGCUGUUCUGACGGUACCCAAAGAAUAAGCACCGGCUAACUUCGUG
RNAcentral lists this ribosomal RNA (492 nucleotides) under uncultured bacterium. RNAcentral describes it as "partial 16S ribosomal RNA". It matches the Rfam family "Bacterial small subunit ribosomal RNA", at positions 29 to 507 of the family's 1533-position model. The record is from RNAcentral.